AGGUUCUGUUUUCUAGGGAAAGAAAAAACAAUGCUCAGUUGUUAGAUAGUCGGUGGGCUCUGGUUACUAAGGAAAUCAAGAGCAAUGGUGACUUCAAAGGCCUUCGGGGUGAGCUAGCCGAGCUGCAGGAUGGGAUGCAAUUGAUGGAGCUGCUCAACCAGAAUCUCCUCACCGAGAAAAAAGCAAUGAACACCGAGUUGGUUGGAGUGCAGGAGGAGCUGGGAGAAGCAAGGAAGCAGCUAAUGCAGCUAGAUGAUAGCAUGGAAUCAAUGAAAUCGUUGAGUAAGGUUCUAUUUUAUAGGGAAAGAAAAAGCAAGGCUCGGUUGCUACAUACUCGGUGGGCUCUGGUUACCAAGGAAAUCAAGAGCAACGGUGACUUAAAAGGCCAUCAGGAAGAGCUAGCCGAGCUGCGGGGUGGGAUGCAAGAAUUGAGAUUCCUCAACCAGGCUCUGUGUUCUAGGGAAAGAGAAAGCAAUGGUCAGUUGUUAGAUACUCGGUGGGCUAUGGUUACCAAGGAAAUCAAGAGCAACGGUGACUUAUGAAACCUCCGGGAAGAGCUGGCCGAGCUGCGGGAUGGGAUGCAAGGACUAGAAUCCCUCAACCAGGUCCUGGUUACUAAGAGCGUAAGAGACAACGACAAACUGCAAGCGGCUCGGAAAGAGUUGAUCGAUGGCUUGAAUGUGGCUACAAAUGGCAGGGCAAACAUAGGCCUGAAGAGGAUGGGGGAGCUUGAUCCAAAAGCGGUUGCAAAUGCUUGCAGACCGAGAUUGUCACAAAAGAAAACUCUUAUUCUUUGUUCCAAGUGGGAGACUAAAAUCAGAAACGCGGGUUGGCACCCUUUUAAGGUCAUCAUGGUUGACGAUCAGCCCAUGGUACGGAUAGCCUUCUAUAUUGCUAUACAUGGAGUAGCUCUUUUAUCUUGUAAGUAGUCUUCAGUAUCUGGUUUGCAAAGGUCCAUCUUACUGUGUGCAAGUGUAACUACUGUCUUGUAGGAAAUUUUCUUGGACGAUGAUGACAAGCUUGUGGAGCUAAAACAAGAACACGGUGACCAAAUGUUCGCCUUGGUGAAACAGGCGCUGAUUGAAAGGAACAAGUACAACCCCAGUGGUGGCUAUCCUGAAACGUUGCUGUGGAACUUCAAGCACAGUCGGGAGGCAACAAUGGAAGAAGCCGUCCAAUUCAUUGUAAAAAAGUGUUGUGCAAAGAAGAGAAAGCAUUGAGCCCAUAUAUCUAGGAGCUGGGGGUUUGCCGUCUUUCUUUGGAAAACCCAUGGAUAUGCACUGUGAAGUAGCGGGUUGCAGAUUUGCAUGACAGCAAUGUGCUACUCUUUCAUUGACAUAUAUGGUACUUUGAGCAAGUGUACAAACCCUUUAAAUAUGUGCAAUAAGGCUAUUGCAGGACUGUUGGAAGUCAAUUGAAGUUGACCUUAACUACAGCAAAGCAUAUAACCGACUCGGAUAUGUUUAUUUCAUCAUAAGGAAUUUUAGUGAUAUGCUGUUACAGGAUGCUAUUCAGAUACUACAUAAACUUCUGAGGUAGUAAAUGGUAGUGCAUUGGGGUGGCGCUGUUUUAAAUUUGAAGUCGCGCAAGCUCAUUUUUACUUCAGUAUGGUUCUGAAUAUUUAUAUAAGCACCUUUAUUUUUUGGCAACAGCUCAAAUGCAAGCACAAACUCAUUGUACCUGUUGUUAACUGGAAAUCUGGAAUGCGAUUUUACUUCAUUCUUAGUUCGAAUUCAGCCAAGAAGUUUUUUUUUAAGGUAUAAAACAGUGGGGGGACCUGAAACUGAUAUUUGUGCCAUUUUGAAUAGUAGUAGGAAUUUGUGCGUCUGAUUUGCUUGCAACUGCUGGAUGGAAAAGAAACCAUCAUUAGUUCAUCUAUAUGAUAUAUUCAUGGGAAACCAGUUUAUGCAGUGGGCAUGCAGGAAGACCAGUGCGAAUUGCCUGACAUGUUUGUAUUGAGUGUGCAGGUGUUGCGCUGCCGUUCAUUGUUGAACUGGCCGAUGGUCGCUCCUCCGUCUUCAACUGCUGCUUACUCGGGUGGAAAGAUUGUACAUCACAGAUUUUGGUCCAAUUCAGGCUUGCUUUUCUUGCUCAUGUUCAAACAGAAGGCAGAGAAGCUCUUGAGUAGCUUACAAGGUACUCCCUCCAUUCCUAAAUAUAAGUCUUUGUAGAGAUUCCACUAUGAACUACAUACGGAUGUAUAUAGAUGCAUUUUAAGUGUGGAUUCAUUCAUUUUGCUCCGUAUGUAGUCCACCCAGUGAAAUCUCUACAAAGACUUACAUUUUGGAACGGAGGGAGUAUAAGAGUGUUUAGAUCUCGCAUGUGUGGUUCUAACACGAGAAAUUAUCUUUCUUCUUCUUUCUUCUUUUUGUUUGCGAAAGAGAAACUAUCUUUCUAUAGAUCAUAGGGUGUGGAUGAAGGUCUACAGUGGUAGACUCUGGUUUUGCAGGAGAUUGUACGCCUGGAGUGGAGUCUUGGAGGCCAUGGUAUGGCACUGUGAGCUUUUAUGUGCAAGUGCAAAAGAUAUGGUAGAUGGCCUGUACCGACUAGGCAUUUUCCUUUGAGGAAAAAGAUGGUCAUGCAUAAUGUGAGACACCGUUGUGAAUAAUUGUACAUGAAGGAAUCUAGAAUUUGC
This is an RNA transcript of Triticum dicoccoides, 2635 nucleotides long. It is a transcript of the gene named factor of DNA methylation 1-like, with no coding region annotated. The record is from RefSeq and is a predicted model, not a curated record. NCBI's taxonomy places the organism in Eukaryota, Viridiplantae, Streptophyta, Magnoliopsida, Poales, Poaceae. The transcript has 3 exons.